RNAcentral lists this ribosomal RNA (458 nucleotides) under uncultured Candidatus Saccharibacteria bacterium. Its description in RNAcentral is "bacterial SSU rRNA". It matches the Rfam family "Bacterial small subunit ribosomal RNA", at positions 1017 to 1500 of the family's 1533-position model. Lineage: Bacteria; Candidatus Saccharimonadota. The record is from RNAcentral.
CCUCCGGGAACCAAGUGACAGGUGUUGCAUGGCCGUCGUCAGCCUCGUGUCGUGAGAUGUUUGGUUAAGUCCAUCAACGAGCGCAACCCUUGUGGCUAGUUGAAUUUUUCUAGUCAGACUGCCCUGGUAACAGGGAGGAAGGAGGGGAUGAUGUCAGGUCAGUAUUACCCUUACGUCUGGGGCUACAAACACGCUACAAUGGCCGGUACAAAGGGCUGCCAAGUCGCGAGACGGAGCAAAUCCCAUCAAAACCGGUCCCAGUUCGGAUUGCAGGCUGAAACUCGCCUGCAUGAAGUCGGAAUCGCUAGUAACGGUAGGUCAGCACACUACCGUGAAUACGUUCCCGGGUCUUGUACACACCGCCCGUCAAACCAUGAAAGUCGCCAAUACCUGACGUCUUAAGCUAGUCUAGGCCUAAGGUAGGGGAGAUGAUUGGGGUUAAGUCGUAACAAGGUAAC